Molecule: non-coding RNA, 80 nt
Organism: Gadus chalcogrammus (walleye pollock)
Lineage: Eukaryota; Metazoa; Chordata; Actinopteri; Gadiformes; Gadidae
Source: the annotation of a RefSeq genome assembly
GUCUCUGUAGCUUUGGCGCAAUUGGUUAGUGCGUUCGACUGUUAAUCGAAAGGUUGGUGGUUCAAGCCUACCCAGGGACG